UAAUACGUAGGGGGCGAGCGUUGUCCGGAUUUAUUGGGCGUAAAGAGCUCGUAGGCGGUUCGAUAAGUCGGAUGUGAAAUCUCCACGCUCAACGUGGAGGGGCCAUUCGAUACUGUCGUGACUCGAGUCCGGUAGGGGAGUGUGGAAUUCCCGGUGUAGCGGUGAAAUGCGCAGAGAUCGGGAGGAACACCCGUAGCGAAGGCGGCACUCUGGGCCGGUACUGACGCUGAGGAGCGAAAGCGUGGGGAGCAAACAGGAUUAGAUACCCUGGUAGUCCACGCCGUAAACGUUGGGCACUAGGUGUGGGACUCUAUCGACGGGUUCCGUGCCGUAGCUAACGCAUUAAGUGCCCCGCCUGGGGAGUACGGCCGCAAGGCUA
This 379-nucleotide ribosomal RNA is filed under the name uncultured bacterium. Its description in RNAcentral is "bacterial SSU rRNA". It matches the Rfam family "Bacterial small subunit ribosomal RNA", at positions 521 to 896 of the family's 1533-position model. The record is from RNAcentral.